This is a long non-coding RNA of Saccostrea cuccullata (small rock oyster), 404 nucleotides long. RefSeq lists it as uncharacterized. Lineage: Eukaryota; Metazoa; Mollusca; Bivalvia; Ostreida; Ostreidae. The record is from RefSeq and is a predicted model, not a curated record. The transcript is spliced from 2 exons.
AUAUACGAGGGUUGUCCCGUAAAAUCGUGGACAAAGCGUUUUUCUCGAAAAUUUCUCGAGCAUUCGAAAUGGGAAAGUGGUAAACACAACACACGAAAAAUGGUGACGUUUUAUGACGUUACGGCGCACCGGAGAACAGUUCAGUUUUAUUUCGAUGUUGUAAUGACACCUUUAGAGACUUGAAAUGACCAUAGAAGAAAAAAAGAUUAUAAAAAUAUCACCAUAUCUUAAGUAUACAAAUAAAAUAGGAGUUUUCUUAGCGAAGUCUUUUUGAUCGAGUCCCUGGGGAGUACAAAACAUACGGACAAACUCCUUAUUUAAUAGCAAAAGACGCUGUCACAGUAGACCGCCGAUAUGAGAUUUUCUAUUAGUUGAAUGAUGGUGAGAAUAUUGUCCGUAACUUA